CUCUUCAUCUUUCCCCAGAUCGAAACCGAAGAGGCGGUCAGCGAGAUGACGCCUAGCCACCGGAGAUCUCAGGCCAGAGGCCCUGGAACGGAGGGCCGCAGGAGACACAGCUUUUGUGGCUAGGAGAGGGAGCAGCACCACCUGCGCCGUCCUUCAUGAGGGCCGCGCGUCAUCCCGGACUCCGGCUUCCCUCCACGCGCCUCCACUGUUAGCCGCCGCAGCACCCAACUCCGUCGUCCUUCGUCAUCUGUGCGCCGCCCUGCUCGAAUCCGCCGUCUGUCUGCCCCCGCUCCUCGAAGAUGAAGGAUCAAGCUGCCGCAAGAACCCAGCAGCACCAGGAGGAUGAGCAGGAAUUGCCCGUCCUUUAUUCUCGAGCAAGUACAAGGAGCAGCCUGCCAAGAGGAUGUAGCAGUUUGUUGCUGUUGUUGAAAAGGGAGCGGCAGUCGCCCCCGCAUCGCCUGCCUGGCUCCGGCGCCGAUUGUUUGCAGGGAAGUGCGUUAGGUUCUCUGGAUUCAGAUAUAAAGUUCAGAUUUUCACACCUUCUGCUAAUUUUUCUCAUAUCUAUUUGAUUCAGAUUUUUAAAUAAGUGUGUGCUGCUACGAUGAACGAUGAACGGAAAGUUCCAGGUUGUUUACCAAGAAAAUUAUUUGAUCCUUACUUGCUCAAAUGCACGCAGUUUCUGUAGACCUCUUGCUAAGCUACAGGCUAUUCGUCUAAAAGCCAAAAAGAACAAGUUCACGAUGCAACUUGGCACAUCCAGUGAAACAUGGUUCAGAAUUAUGUGCUUCUUGGUUGAGAUGUCACUUAGUUAUUUCAGCAAGAAGAAGUUCGUGGUUUAGGCUUGGCCUCGAGUAUUUAGUUUCUUCAAUUUGUAAAUACGAGCUUUUGGAGUUUAGCAGUUUUACCUAAACAACGUAAUUUGUUUUUCAAAUCUUUGUGUAAUACAGUUAUAUAGUUCUGAACAAUUGUGAAACUGGAAUGGAUGAAGAGUAACUUGUGUGAA
Molecule: long non-coding RNA, 1003 nt
Organism: Lolium perenne
Lineage: Eukaryota; Viridiplantae; Streptophyta; Magnoliopsida; Poales; Poaceae
Source: RefSeq, a predicted model, not a curated record